This 499-nucleotide ribosomal RNA is filed under the name uncultured bacterium. RNAcentral describes it as "partial 16S ribosomal RNA". It matches the Rfam family "Bacterial small subunit ribosomal RNA", at positions 28 to 507 of the family's 1533-position model. The record is from RNAcentral.
GAUGAACGCUGGCGGCGUGCCUAAUACAUGCAAGUCGAGCGAACAGACGAGAGUGCUUGCACUCUCUGACGUUAGCGGCGGACGGGUGAGUAACACGUGGGUAACCUACCUUUAAGACUGGGAUAACUUCGGGAAACCGGAGCUAAUACCGGAUAAUAUUUAGCUUCGCAUGAAGCAAUAGUGAAAGACGGUUCUGCUGUCACUUAUAGAUGGACCCGCGGUGUAUUAGCUAGUUGGUGAGGUAACGGCUCACCAAGGCAACGAUACAUAGCCGACCUGAGAGGGUGAUCGGCCACACUGGGACUGAGACACGGCCCAGACUCCUACGGGAGGCAGCAGUAGGGAAUCUUCCGCAAUGGACGAAAGUCUGACGGAGCAAUGCCGCGUGAGUGAAGAAGGUUUUCGGAUCGUAAAACUCUGUUGUAAGGGAAGAACAAGUACGUUAGUAACUGAACGUACCUUGACGGUACCUUACCAGAAAGCCACGGCUAACUACGUG